RNAcentral lists this ribosomal RNA (255 nucleotides) under uncultured bacterium. Its description in RNAcentral is "partial 16S ribosomal RNA". It matches the Rfam family "Bacterial small subunit ribosomal RNA", at positions 78 to 334 of the family's 1533-position model. The record is from RNAcentral.
GCUUUCUUUGCUGGCGACCGGCGCACGGGUGAGUAACACGUAUCCAACCUGCCCUUUACUCGGGGGUAGCCUUUCGAAAGAAAGAUUAAUACCCGAUAGCAUAAUGAUUCCGCAUGGUUUCAUUAUUAAAGGAUUCCGGUAAAGGAUGGGGAUGCGUUCCAUUAGGUUGUUGGUGAGGUAACGGCCCACCAAGCCUUCGAUGGAUAGGGGUUCUGAGAGGAAGGUCCCCCACAUUGGAACUGAGACACGGUCCAA